RNAcentral lists this long non-coding RNA (740 nucleotides) under Mytilus galloprovincialis (Mediterranean mussel). The record is from RNAcentral. Lineage: Eukaryota; Metazoa; Mollusca; Bivalvia; Mytilida; Mytilidae.
AAUUUGCAAAUUUUCUAUCAAAACAAAAUACAGAUCUAUAAUUUAAAAAGUCCAAUUUUAAAAAGAAGUUUUGAAUUUUUUGAAUCUGAAUUUACAAAUACAAUAUGAUGCAUAAACUGCAUUACUCUUGCUAAAAUGAUCUCAAAUAGAAAAUUUUUGAAUCCCAGACCAAAAUACCAGAUCACGCCCGCACUCUUAAAAAAAGAAAAUUUAAAAUCCCAGACCAAAAUACCUAACCCUUACCCUUUAAAAAGAAAAUUUUGAAGCUCAGACCAAAUGGUAACUAUCUGAUUUGUAGCAGGUCAAGUUUACGGUCUUAUUUCAUACACGCCAGUGACUUACGACCUAGUCAUGCAAACAAGAGGUCGCACCCUGUCUCCAAAUCAUGUAGUACUGAUGCACAAUUUAAAUUCUGUACUGUUUUGGUUAAAUUUAAUUCAACAGGUUUUAGAGCAAUGCAGUUUUUCAUCAGUAAAUUAAAAAAAAAAUGAGAUAAAAAAUGAAAGCCCUUUUUCUCCACACUAAAAAAAAUAUAAAAGAUAUAAACUGAUUUUUGGAUUUAAAUUGAACCUUAUCAGAUUUUAACAUGAAUAAAAAUUAGAUCCCAGUGACCUUUUAAUUUCUGACUUGCAAUAAUCUAAGAGUUCAGUAUGGAAGGUUGAAUAAAUGGUUUGGCAUAAAGGAAAAGAUCAACCGAUCUGACUUAUAGUAAUAAUGUUCAGGAUAUUGUAUUUUAUAAA